This 1020-nucleotide long non-coding RNA is filed under the name Homo sapiens (human). RNAcentral's name for it is "DPPA2 upstream binding RNA". The record is from RNAcentral. Lineage: Eukaryota; Metazoa; Chordata; Mammalia; Primates; Hominidae.
CCGGCGAACCGCGCAAUGCGCUUCUUCUGCCUGCAGCAGAGAAAAGGAAAGAAAACUCCGCAGGGGCUCCGUUGGCUUCUCCACGAGUGACAACCAUGUUUUCCCAGAUAGAAGACCGGAGCCCUGCUCCUUUGCGAUCCGCCGAGGGCUGCAGAGAGCAUCCUCAUCCAUUUGGGCACCCCUGCCCAGGAAGAGCCCGGCCAUCCCUUUCCGGACUGGAUCCUUAAGAGGUGAAUUUUCUUCCGUGGAUUCCGAUUUGCUCCGUCUGACCAGCCUAGGCAAUCCAGCAUCGCGUGGUACCAGUGCCGCUGGGCACACUGGCUUCACGCCGGCUCCGCCUCACCAGCAAGCGCAUUCCCAGUUACUAUUGUUAUCUCAAUGUACAGAGGAGAAAAUGAGACACUGAGUGGGACUCAGGGAUUGCUCCAGGCCACACAGUCAGCAGGAGGCAAAGCCCAGAUUCAAAUGCAGAUUACUCAGCUCCACAAUCCACAUCCUCACAGGAGGCUGCACUCCUUGCCCAAGCGUCAGACAGGAGCAAAGAGAAAGAAGGCAACCAGCUGGCUACUUUCUUCCCUUCUUGGAUGCCUCCAACAGGAUGCUGAACUCCUUACCCCAGUGUGAGGGUAUUUGGAGGUGGGACCUUUGGGAGAUUCGGUCUUCAUAAAUGGGAUUAGUGCCCUUAUAAAAGAAAUCACAGAGAGCUUCCUCUCUCCUUCUACCAUGUAAGGAUGCAGCAAGAAGACACCAUGAACCAGGAAAUAAAACACUAACUCAGAGAAGAAAUUUAACUGCAAAUUUGGUUAAUGACCAUGGAUUCCUAAUGAGAAGAAAAGCUAGACACUGAGAGUUUAGAAUAAACUCAAGAAUCUUAAAAAUUUUCCCAUGGAACUGCCUUUGCACCUCUAUAAAAAAUUAAUUGACCAUAUGGUAAGUAACAUGUGAGUUUACAUUGAGGAUAGAUGAGCCUUUGGACAAAAUUAGAGUGAUUUAAUUUUACAAUAAAAACAACUCUAUGUC